This 730-nucleotide long non-coding RNA is filed under the name Gossypium barbadense (sea-island cotton). RNAcentral's name for it is "long non-coding RNA (GBAR_LNC016381)". Lineage: Eukaryota; Viridiplantae; Streptophyta; Magnoliopsida; Malvales; Malvaceae. The record is from RNAcentral.
UUUUCUCUGCUAGGGUUCCAAGGCUAGGAACCCUGCCGCUGUCACGCCUCCCCACUACCCGGUGGCCGGAGCUAUGCAAGGGCGCCUCUUAUCAGCGCAUUGAAGCACGUUCAGAAGUCGAGGCCAUGGAACAGAGAAACAAAGGGAAAGAGAAAAGCUUUGGCCCCUCCUUAAACCCACAUCCGGCGACGGUGAAGUACCAUCGACGGCGGGCCUAAGGGCCGAUUCAGGUAACUUUCUUUACUUUCUCUGCCGAUUAUUUUAAAAUGGAUUUAAAAAAACAAACAAAUAAGUAAAUAAAAAAUAUAUGAAAAAACAAAGAGAAUAGUCUAAAAUCAACCUUUUGAAUUUUUGUUUCUGAGUUUCGAUUGACUGAUGUGUGUCCAAAAAAAAUACAAGGAUUCGAUCAAGGCUUUUAUAGCCGAUUUCAAUAACUCAUUUCUUUUUCUUUUUUUUUUGUUUCCAUUAACUAUAUCGCCUGCAUGCUUCUGUUGUUGCAUUCAAUUUUCUCUGCAGGUGUCAAAGGCGUGGAGGAGCAGUGAUAGGCGAGCCUUGGGCGGUAGCAGCGUGCGAGGAGCUGGAGCGGCGCACAUGGGCAGAGUGCGGCGCACCCUAGGGUUCCCCAUCCCUUGCUGCUGGAAGUUUUUGUUUGUGGGCUAGGGUUGUAUUUUGGGCUGGCAUAAUUGCGUUUGAAUUUGCUGUAAAUGGACUGUCAUUUUUUUUAUAUUUG